CCCUAUGGGGUGCAGCAGGAAUGGGCGACGCCGGUGUUGCCACCACUCCCGAUGCCAAUUCCGGUCACUGGAACCCUGCAAAAUAUGUCUUCAGCGAUAAGGAGCUUGGCGUUGCCAUUUCUUACACGCCCUGGCUCCGCCGGUUGGUUCCCGAUAUGAAUAUUGCCUAUGUAUCGGCCUAUAAACAACUCGAUAAAGAAAAUACCAUUGCCGGUUCGCUGAUGUAUUUUUCGCUGGGCAGCAUUAACUUUACCGACAUUACCGGAAGCACCAUCAGGGAUUUUACACCGCAUGAAUUUGGUGUUGACUUCAGCUACUCGCGUUUGCUGGGUGACAAUUUUUCGGGCGCCGUUGCCCUGCGAUACAUUUACAGCAACCUGGCGGGAGGGC
This 390-nucleotide ribosomal RNA is filed under the name uncultured prokaryote. Its description in RNAcentral is "partial 16S ribosomal RNA". The record is from RNAcentral.